UACAGGGAGAUAACUCUGUAAAGUCAGCUAAACGUUUUAAUUACGUUGUGUUGUAAAAGGAAUAUUAAGCUUCUCAAUGAUCAAAAUUGGUGUUUGUCAAACUGCUAUAUAACCAGUGUUAUUUUUCUGACAAAACGGUUGGUUCAAAAUUUUUUUAAAUUUUUAUAUUUUUGUUAAAGGGUCAAAGUAAAUAAUUUGACAAAAUUUAAUGAAAAUUAACCGAGCCAAAUUAAUUUUAGUGAAAGUGUU
RNAcentral lists this long non-coding RNA (249 nucleotides) under Mytilus galloprovincialis (Mediterranean mussel). The record is from RNAcentral. Lineage: Eukaryota; Metazoa; Mollusca; Bivalvia; Mytilida; Mytilidae.